UACGAAGGGGGCUAGCGUUGUUCGGAAUUACUGGGCGUAAAGCGCACGUAGGCGGAUUAGUAAGUCAGGGGUGAAAUCCCGGGGCUCAACCUCGGAACUGCCUUUGAUACUGCUGAUCUCGAGUCCGGAAGAGGUGAGUGGAAUUCCUAGUGUAGAGGUGAAAUUCGUAGAUAUUAGGAAGAACACCAGUGGCGAAGGCGGCUCACUGGUCCGGUACUGACGCUGAGGUGCGAAAGCAUGGGGAGUAAACAUG
This 253-nucleotide ribosomal RNA is filed under the name uncultured bacterium. RNAcentral's name for it is "partial 16S ribosomal RNA". It matches the Rfam family "Bacterial small subunit ribosomal RNA", at positions 524 to 776 of the family's 1533-position model. The record is from RNAcentral.